RNAcentral lists this ribosomal RNA (875 nucleotides) under uncultured bacterium. RNAcentral describes it as "bacterial SSU rRNA". It matches the Rfam family "Bacterial small subunit ribosomal RNA", at positions 8 to 883 of the family's 1533-position model. The record is from RNAcentral.
AGAGUUUGAUCAUGGCUCAGAGCGAACGCUGGCGGCGUGCUUAACACAUGCAAGUCGAGUGCGCGUCUGUAGCAAUACAGAUGGCGCACGGCGCACGGGUGCGUAACACGUGGGCAACCUGCCCUUUGGAUGGGGGAUAACCCCGCGAAAGCGGGGCUAAUACCGCAUGACAUUCCGGAGACCUCGGUCUCUGGACUCAAAGCCCGCAAGGGCGUCUAAGGAGGGGCCCGCGCCCGAUUAGCUAGUUGGUGAGGUAACGGCUCACCAAGGCAAUGAUCGGUAGCCGGUCUGAGAGGAUGGCCGGCCACACUGGAACUGAGACACGGUCCAGACUCCUACGGGAGGCAGCAGUGGGGAAUAUUGCGCAAUGGGCGAAAGCCUGACGCAGCGACGCCGCGUGGGGGAUGAAGCUUUUCGGAGUGUAAACCCCUUUCGACCCGGACGAAUGACCCGCAAGGGUUUGACGGUACGGGUAUAAGAAGCCCCGGCUAACUACGUGCCAGCAGCCGCGGUAAUACGUAGGGGGCCAGCGUUGCUCGGAAUUACUGGGCGUAAAGGGUUCGUAGGCGGUGCGGCAAGUUGGGAGUGAAAUCUCUGGGCUUAACCCAGAGGCUGCUUUCAAAACUGCCGUGCUCGAGUGCGGGAGAGGCCAGUGGAAUUGCAGGUGUAGCGGUGAAAUGCGUAGAUAUCUGCAGGAACACCCGUGGCGAAAGCGGCUGGCUGGACCGCAACUGACGCUGAGGAACGAAAGCUAGGGGAGCAAACAGGAUUAGAUACCCUGGUAGUCCUAGCCCUAAACCAUCAGAACUUGGGGUGCCCCGCGUAGGCGGGCCGUCCCGUAGCUAACGCGUUAAGUUCUGCGCCUGGGGGAGUAC